This 539-nucleotide ribosomal RNA is filed under the name uncultured bacterium. Its description in RNAcentral is "bacterial SSU rRNA". It matches the Rfam family "Bacterial small subunit ribosomal RNA", at positions 359 to 915 of the family's 1533-position model. The record is from RNAcentral.
GAAUAUUGCACAAUGGGGGAAACCCUGAUGCAGCAACGCCGCGUGGAGGAUGACGCAUUUCGGUGUGUAAACUCCUUUUAUGUGUCAAGAAAAUGACGGUAGCAUAUGAAUAAGCACCGGCUAACUCCGUGCCAGCCGCCGCGGUAAUACGGAGGGUGCAAGCGUUACUCGGAAUCACUGGGCGUAAAGGACGCGUAGGCGGGUUGUCAAGUCAGAUGUGAAAUCCUACAGCUUAACUGUAGAACUGCAUUUGAAACUGGCAACCUAGAGUAUGGGAGGGGGAGAUGGAAUUAGUGGUGUAGGGGUAAAAUCCGUAGAUAUCACUAGGAAUACCGAAAGCGAAGGCGAUCUCCUGGAACAUUACUGACGCUAAGGCGUGAAAGCGUGGGGAGCAAACGGGAUUAGAUACCCCGGUAGUCCACGCCCUAAACGAUGAACACUAGUCGUCGGGAUGCUUGUCAUCUCGGUGAUGCACUUAACAGAUUAAGUGUUCCGCCUGGGGAGUACGGUCGCAAGAUUAAAACUCAAAGGAAUAGACG